GCGAGAGUGGCGAAACGGCAGACGCGCUGGGUUUAGGUCCCAGUGGGGCACCCCCCCGUGAGGGUUCGACUCCCUUCUCUCGCA
RNAcentral lists this transfer RNA (84 nucleotides) under Planctomycetota bacterium. RNAcentral describes it as "Planctomycetes bacterium (groundwater metagenome) tRNA-Leu". It matches the Rfam family "tRNA". From Rfam's summary of the family: Transfer RNA (tRNA) molecules are approximately 80 nucleotides in length. Their secondary structure includes four short double-helical elements and three loops (D, anti-codon, and T loops). The record is from RNAcentral. Lineage: Bacteria; Pseudomonadati; Planctomycetota.